This is a non-coding RNA of Eumeta japonica, 104 nucleotides long. The record is from the annotation of a GenBank genome assembly. Lineage: Eukaryota; Metazoa; Arthropoda; Insecta; Lepidoptera; Psychidae.
ACCCCACUUUGAAUACACCAGUUCUCGUUUGAUCACCGAUAUUAAGCAGCGUCGGGUGCAGUCAGUGCUUAGAUGAGUGAACGCAUAGGAAGACCGUGAGAUGU